RNAcentral lists this ribosomal RNA (1075 nucleotides) under Desulfuromonadales bacterium. RNAcentral's name for it is "partial 23S ribosomal RNA". It matches the Rfam family "Bacterial large subunit ribosomal RNA", at positions 1 to 1134 of the family's 2925-position model. Lineage: Bacteria; Pseudomonadati; Thermodesulfobacteriota; Desulfuromonadia; Desulfuromonadales. The record is from RNAcentral.
GGUCAAGUGAAUAAGCGCAUAGGGUGGAUGCCUAGGCGAUAAGAGGCGAUGAAGGACGUUGUAGGAUGCGAUAAGUCGCGGGGAGUUUUCAAACAAACUUUGAUCCGCGAAUUUCCGAAUGGGGCAACCCAAUCUGCAUAAGCAGAUUAUCUUUAUCUGAAUACAUAGGGUAAAGAAGCGAACCGGGGGAACUGAAACAUCUAAGUACCCCGAGGAAAAGAAAUCAAACGAGAUUCCCUAAGUAGCGGCGAGCGAACGGGGACCAGCCGAGUCUUUUGCGAUAGUGGAACAGUCUGGAAAGUCUGACGAUACAGGGUGAUAGUCCCGUACACGAAAUCAAAAAAGAACGUAUUAAGUAGGGCGAUGCACGUGAAACGUUGUCUGAAGAUAGGGGGACCAUCCUCUAAGGCUAAAUACUACUUAUCGACCGAUAGUGAACUAGUACCGUGAGGGAAAGGCGAAAAGAACCCCGGAGAGGGGAGUGAAAUAGAUCCUGAAACCGUAUGCGUACAAGCAGUAGGAGCGGACUUGUUCCGUGACUGCGUACCUUUUGUAUAAUGGGUCAGCGACUUAAUCUUAGUGGCAAGCUUAACCGAGAAGGGGAGGCGUAGCGAAAGCGAGUCUUAAUAGGGCGUUUAGUCGCUAGGAUUAGACCCGAAACCGGGCGAUCUAUCCAUGGCCAGGUUGAAGGUGGGGUAAUACCUACUGGAGGACCGAACCCACGUAUGUUGAAAAAUGCGGGGAUGAGCUGUGGAUCGGAGUGAAAGGCUAAUCAAGCCCGGAGAUAGCUGGUUCUCCUCGAAAUCUAUUUAGGUAGAGCCUCGCGUAUAACUGUCGGGGGUAGAGCACUGUUAUGGCUAGGGGGUCAUCCCGACUUACCAAACCAUUGCAAACUCCGAAUACCGACAAGUGCAAUCACGGGAGACACACGGCGGGUGCUAAGGUCCGUCGUGAAAAGGGAAACAGCCCAGACCGUCAGCUAAGGUCCCAAAAUCUAUGCUCAGUGGGAAACGAUGUGAAAAGGCCCAGACAGCCAGGAGGUUGGCUUAGAAGCAGCCAUCCUUUAAAGAAAGCG